AUGUAUGUGAGUUUGUGUCUUGUGGCACAAGAAUCUGUGUAUCUGUUUAGAUUCACCAGAAAAAGUAUUAAAAUAUUAGUAACAUUGUUUACAAUUGUCUUUCAUUUUCCAAUUUCAGCACAAGGGACCAGGAUUGCCUUUUCAGUUCAAAGGAAACCAAAUUGCUUUAAAAGAGAGCGACAGGAUUCCGAUGGGAUUUUAGGCUCUGAACUGAUCGACAAGAGAGAAUGGGCAUUCUGGACGCACUCAGCCAGGAUGGAGCCAAACUCAGAGCUGAGAGGGGCCAGGAUCUGCAUCCCAGUCUGGCCCACGACCAGCUGUGUGACCUCGGGCGUGGUACUGAAUCUAUCUGUGCCAGAAUCUCCUCAUCUGUAACAGGGGUAAUUAUAGGAUCUCCUUCACCAGAAUCGUGGUGUGAAGUAAGUGAAGCAAUACAGGGAAAGAGUGCAGAACAACACUGACUUGUAGUAAGUGAUCGAAGUACUAGGUGCUACUUUCAAAUAACUCAUAUUUUAAUGUUAUCCGUCUAGCUACCUGUAGAUACUGCAAAACCUACUCCAGGAGCCCUCAAAUGGUUAAUCAUGUAUCUAUUUUUAGGGGCAGAGUCUUCUGCUUUUGCCGGUGCUCUUGGCAAUAGAACGUUGAGUUAUUCUUUCAUUAUAUGAGAUUGAUUCCUGACACUGAAAUCUCAAAACUGCUAGAAGGAGGCUAGAGGCAGAACGUGUCUCAUACACUCAAAGAUUUCCAGUUUUAAAAACUUUGCAGCAAUUAUUUUCACUGGCUUUACUCUUUAUAUAGGUGGACUCACACAGUAUUUGAAUUUUUGUGAUAUCUUAUUUCACUUGACAUAAACCUUAAGGUUCACUCACAUUUAGAAUUUCCUUUCUUUGUAAGGCUGAAUAAUCA
RNAcentral lists this long non-coding RNA (906 nucleotides) under Fukomys damarensis (Damara mole-rat). RNAcentral's name for it is "lncRNA (ENSFDAG00000022552.1)". The record is from RNAcentral. Lineage: Eukaryota; Metazoa; Chordata; Mammalia; Rodentia; Bathyergidae.